RNAcentral lists this ribosomal RNA (497 nucleotides) under uncultured bacterium. RNAcentral's name for it is "partial 16S ribosomal RNA". It matches the Rfam family "Bacterial small subunit ribosomal RNA", at positions 28 to 507 of the family's 1533-position model. The record is from RNAcentral.
GAUGAACGCUGGCGGCGUGCCUAAUACAUGCAAGUCGAGCGAACAGACGAGGAGCUUGCUCCUCUGACGUUAGCGGCGGACGGGUGAGUAACACGUGGAUAACCUACCUAUAAGACUGGGAUAACUUCGGGAAACCGGAGCUAAUACCGGAUAAUAUAUUGAACAGCAUGGUUCAAUAGUGAAAGACGGUUUUGCUGUCACUUAUAGAUGGAUCCGCGCCGCAUUAGCUAGUUGGUAAGGUAACGGCUUACCAAGGCGACGAUGCGUAGCCGACCUGAGAGGGUGAUCGGCCACACUGGAACUGAGACACGGUCCAGACUCCUACGGGAGGCAGCAGUAGGGAAUCUUCCGCAAUGGGCGAAAGCCUGACGGAGCAACGCCGCGUGAGUGAUGAAGGUCUUCGGAUCGUAAAACUCUGUUAUUAGGGAAGAACAAAUGUGUAAGUAACUAUGCACGUCUUGACGGUACCUAAUCAGAAAGCCACGGCUAACUACGUG